Molecule: ribosomal RNA, 551 nt
Filed under: uncultured bacterium
Lineage: Bacteria
Description: bacterial SSU rRNA
Rfam family: Bacterial small subunit ribosomal RNA
Source: RNAcentral
UAGGGAAUCUNNNNNNAAGGNCGGAAGUCUGACCGAGCAACGCCGCGUGAGNCUNAGAAGGUUUUCGGAUCGUAAAGCUCUGUUGUAAGAGAAGAACGAGUGUGAGAGUGGAAAGUUCACACUGUGACGGUAUCUUACCAGAAAGGGACGGCUAACUACGUGCCAGCAGCCGCGGUAAUACGUAGGUCCCGAGCGUUGUCCGGAUUUAUUGGGCGUAAAGCGAGCGCAGGCGGUUAGAUAAGUCUGAAGUUAAAGGCUGUGGCUUAACCAUAGUAGGCUUUGGAAACUGUUUAACUUGAGUGCAAGAGGGGAGAGUGGAAUUCCAUGUGUAGCGGUGAAAUGCGUAGAUAUAUGGAGGAACACCGGUGGCGAAAGCGGCUCUCUGGCUUGUAACUGACGCUGAGGCUCGAAAGCGUGGGGAGCAAACAGGAUUAGAUACCCUGGUAGUCCACGCUGUAAACGAUGAGUGCUAGGUGUUAGACCCUUUCCGGGGUUUAGUGCCGUAGCUAACGCAUUAAGCACUCCGCCUGGGGAGUACGACCGCAAGGUUG